This is a long non-coding RNA of Larimichthys crocea (large yellow croaker), 610 nucleotides long. RefSeq lists it as uncharacterized. The transcript has 3 exons. The record is from RefSeq and is a predicted model, not a curated record. Lineage: Eukaryota; Metazoa; Chordata; Actinopteri; Sciaenidae.
ACCUAUGAAAUCCAGCUAAAGAUCCAUCGCUUUUAUUUAGCCUCUUAAUUAUCAUCAUGAAGAUGAUAAGUAAGUUUCUACAAUAACUGAGCUUUAUAAAACAGUUAGUUUAAUUCAGUUUUAUGCAUCUUGCCCUGCUAUCUGCUGCUCAUAGUGGUUUGUGGCUAGCACUGGUUCAAACUCUGUGUCCUUCCAAAAACAUGCACUUCCUCACUUACCACCAGCUCUUCCCAAAGUCAGCUGGGAUGCUCCACCCUGCUACAACCCUGACAACAACAAGAAGCUGUGAAGGAAGAGAGAGAGACAACGACGAUGCAGUAUGAUGAAGUGCAUGCUUACAUUUGGUGUGCUGUUUCAUCUCUGCCACAGUGUUGCGAUAAACAUAACACUGAGCAGGGAGAUUAUACGUGGACUUGGGACUCUGAACAACCUCUACAGAUUCAACAAGCUUAAUUUCACAUCUACAGCCAAGAUUCGUGUGCCAACCAUAAAAAUGGAUCAAAAUGCAUCUUCUUGUGUGGGUGUCUUUGUCAGGGAGCUGAAGCACCUUCUUGACAGUGUGACGGUGCCUGAAAACAGAAGCAACGUUCUCCAUGGACUUAUGGCGAAC